AUCAAGGUGUUGCAGUACUUUUUUCCAUGUGUACAUGCAUAUAACAUUGAGGGGUUACCCCUCAUUUGACUGGUUGUUCCCAACCUGAUCAACAUUGAUGAAGCAAAAGGAAAAAAAUAAGAAAAGAGAAACUAUAAAUCAUUUAUAGUUGUCACAGUGAAAAGAAAAGGUAUUUAUGGCAAACUUUAAAAAAUAAGAUUUGAAAUGUUUAAUGUUUUCAGUUGUUU
RNAcentral lists this long non-coding RNA (227 nucleotides) under Mytilus galloprovincialis (Mediterranean mussel). The record is from RNAcentral. Lineage: Eukaryota; Metazoa; Mollusca; Bivalvia; Mytilida; Mytilidae.